GACGAACGCUGGCGGCGUGCUUAACACAUGCAAGUCGAACGGUGACGAGGAGCUUGCUCCUCUGAUCAGUGGCGAACGGGUGAGUAACACGUGAGCAACCUGCCCCAGACUCUGGGAUAACAGUUGGAAACAGCUGCUAAUACCGGAUACGAGGCGGAGAGGCAUCUCUACCGUCUGGAAAGUUUUUCGGUCUGGGAUGGACUCGCGGCCUAUCAGCUAGUUGGUGAGGUAAUGGCUCACCAAGGCGACGACGGGUAGCCGGCCUGAGAGGGCGACCGGCCACACUGGGACUGAGACACGGCCCAGACUCCUACGGGAGGCAGCAGUGGGGAAUAUUGCACAAUGGGCGAAAGCCUGAUGCAGCGACGCCGCGUGAGGGAUGAAGGCCUUCGGGUUGUAAACCUCUUUCAGCAGGGAAGAAGCGAAAGUGACGGUACCUGCAGAAGAAGCACCGGCUAACUACGUG
RNAcentral lists this ribosomal RNA (466 nucleotides) under uncultured bacterium. RNAcentral's name for it is "bacterial SSU rRNA". It matches the Rfam family "Bacterial small subunit ribosomal RNA", at positions 28 to 507 of the family's 1533-position model. The record is from RNAcentral.